CUACAUUUUACUAGAAACUUCUGUUGUAACUUUCUAGGAUGUUCCAUUAUAGACUGUUCUAGAAUCUUCCAUGACAAAUAUAUAUAUAUACAGACACUAAAGUUAAACUCACUCUUGUACUUACUCUUGGAUUUGGACUUAGACAUCGAUAGACAUUAAUAUUCAUAGCCUUUGGAUUGACACUUUUAUUCUACAAACAACAUCAUACUGGAUUGUGACCG
Molecule: long non-coding RNA, 221 nt
Filed under: Mytilus galloprovincialis (Mediterranean mussel)
Lineage: Eukaryota; Metazoa; Mollusca; Bivalvia; Mytilida; Mytilidae
Source: RNAcentral